GGGAAGGCGGGGGACCCGGGACGUCCAAGUGUGUAAGAAUGGCGGUACCUGGGAAAUCUCCAAGAGCAGCUUCCAGAGUCCACUAUCCCAGCAGUCCCUGCAGUUGGAGAAUUCGUGCCGGUGGAAAAAUCUGUGGCAUCUCACAAACUGUGAAGCUGAGAAAUCUCCCUAGAUCCUGCAGCAGAACAAAAUGUGGUCAAAGAAGGAAGAGAAUCAAUGGCCUUUUUUUCUCC
Molecule: long non-coding RNA, 233 nt
Organism: Lemur catta (Ring-tailed lemur)
Lineage: Eukaryota; Metazoa; Chordata; Mammalia; Primates; Lemuridae
Exons: 3
Source: RefSeq, a predicted model, not a curated record